AAAAAGGCAAACCCUGGGUUUCCGUGCCAACGUUUGACUGUCCGUUUUAUAUGAAAUUUUUUUAUAAUUAGUAUUUUCAUUGUUGUUAAAUGAUAAAACAUGAUUAAUACAUGAUUAAUACUUUAUCAUGAUUAAUACUUUAUACGUAACUUAUCUUUUUAAUUUUUUUCAUAUUUUUUUCAAAUAAGACGGACGGUCAAACGUUGGGUACGGAAAUCAAGGUUUGUCUUUUUU
RNAcentral lists this microRNA precursor (234 nucleotides) under Oryza rufipogon (brownbeard rice). RNAcentral describes it as "MIR812 microRNA precursor family". It matches the Rfam family "MIR812 microRNA precursor family". Lineage: Eukaryota; Viridiplantae; Streptophyta; Magnoliopsida; Poales; Poaceae. The record is from Rfam by way of RNAcentral.